RNAcentral lists this long non-coding RNA (333 nucleotides) under Sorghum bicolor (sorghum). Its description in RNAcentral is "long non-coding RNA (SBIC_LNC004568)". Lineage: Eukaryota; Viridiplantae; Streptophyta; Magnoliopsida; Poales; Poaceae. The record is from RNAcentral.
CCUGAGAGGGGAGAAAGCGCGCGCAGCGCCCGCGUGGGCCGAGCGGGAGCGGGCCGACCUGCGGGCCGAUUUCCCGGCUGCUCGCUGCGCAGUUUUUUUUUCAUUUUCUUUUUGUGCAGUUUCUAAUUUAUGUUUGAAUUUGUGUAAUAAAUUGUGUAUUGAUCCAAAAAUCAUGGAAAUUUUUGUAUAGAUUCCCUGAAAUGAGUAGAACCCAAGAAAAAUAUUAGAUUUUAUUUUCUGAUAGUUUGCAUGUGUAUAAAAAUUGCCUCUUUUAAUUAGUAAAUACAACUUCUAUGAAUUUUAAUAAUUUAUUAAUAUGUCCAAAAAUCACCA